This 66-nucleotide non-coding RNA is filed under the name Rhodosorus marinus. The record is from RNAcentral. Lineage: Eukaryota; Rhodophyta; Stylonematophyceae; Stylonematales; Stylonemataceae.
UUUUUUUUUUUUUUUUUUUUUUUUAAAAAACUUUUUGUGGUCAAAAAAAAAAAAAAAAGGUAGAAC